RNAcentral lists this ribosomal RNA (1014 nucleotides) under Raffaelea fusca. RNAcentral's name for it is "SSU rRNA". It matches the Rfam family "Eukaryotic small subunit ribosomal RNA", at positions 89 to 1110 of the family's 1831-position model. The record is from RNAcentral. Lineage: Eukaryota; Fungi; Ascomycota; Sordariomycetes; Ophiostomatales; Ophiostomataceae.
GCGAAUGGCUCAUUAAAUCAGUUAUCGUCUAUUUGAUAGUACCUUACUACUUGGAUAACCGUGGUAAUUCUAGAGCUAAUACAUGCUGAAAACCCCGACUUCGGAAGGGAUGUAUUUAUUAGAUUAAAAACCAAUGCCCUUCUGGGCUCCCUGGUGAUUCAUGAUAACUUCUCGAAUCGCACGGCCUUGCGCCGGCGAUGGUUCAUUCAAAUUUCUGCCCUAUCAACUUUCGACGGCUGGGUCUUGGCCAGCCAUGGUGACAACGGGUAACGGAGGGUUAGGGCUCGACCCCGGAGAAGGAGCCUGAGAAACGGCUACUACAUCCAAGGAAGGCAGCAGGCGCGCAAAUUACCCAAUCCCGACACGGGGAGGUAGUGACAAUAAAUACUGAUACAGGGCUCUUUUGGGUCUUGUAAUUGGAAUGAGUACAAUUUAAUUCCCUUAACGAGGAACAAUUGGAGGGCAAGUCUGGUGCCAGCAGCCGCGGUAAUUCCAGCUCCAAUAGCGUAUAUUAAAGUUGUUGCAGUUAAAAAGCUCGUAGUUGAACCUUGGGCCUGGCUGGCCGGUCCGCCUCACCGCGUGCACUGGUCCGGCCGGGCCUUUCCCUCUGGGGAGCCGCAUGCCCUUCACUGGGCGUGCCGGGGAACCAGGACGUUUACUUUGAAAAAAUUAGAGUGUUCAAAGCAGGCUUAUGCUCGGAUACAUUAGCAUGGAAUAAUAGAAUAGGACGUGCGGUUCUAUUUUGUUGGUUUCUAGGACCGCCGUAAUGAUUAAUAGGGACAGUCGGGGGCAUCAGUAUUCAGUUGUCAGAGGUGAAAUUCUUGGAUUUACUGAAGACUAACUACUGCGAAAGCAUUUGCCAAGGAUGUUUUUCAUUAAUCAGGAACGAAAGUUAGGGGAUCGAAGACGAUCAGAUACCGUCGUAGUCUUAACCAUAAACUAUGCCGACUAGGGAUCGGACGGUGUUAUUUUUUGACCCGUUCGGCACCUUACACGCAAAGUACCAGUUUCCUG